AGUGAACGCUGGCGGUAGGCCCAACACAUGCAAGUCGAACGGCAGCACAGUAAGAGCUUGCUCUUACGGGUGGCGAGUGGCGGACGGGUGAGGAAUACAUCGGAAUCUACUUUUUCGUGGGGGAUAACGUAGGGAAACUUACGCUAAUACCGCAUACGACCUACGGGUGAAAGCAGGGGAUCUUCGGCCCUUGCGCGAUUGAAUGAGCCGAUGUCGGAUUAGCUAGUUGGCGGGGUAAAGGCCCACCAAGGCGACGAUCCGUAGCUGGUCUGAGAGGAUGAUCAGCCACACUGGAACUGAGACACGGUCCAGACUCCUACGGGAGGCAGCAGUGGGGAAUAUUGGACAAUGGGCGCAAGCCUGAUCCAGCCAUACCGCGUGGGUGAAGAAGGCCUUCGGGUUGUAAAGCCCUUUUGUUGGGAAAGAAAAGCAGCAGGUUAAUACCCCGCUGUUCUGACGGUACCCAAAGAAUAAGCACCGGCUAACUUCGUG
This 492-nucleotide ribosomal RNA is filed under the name uncultured bacterium. RNAcentral describes it as "partial 16S ribosomal RNA". It matches the Rfam family "Bacterial small subunit ribosomal RNA", at positions 29 to 507 of the family's 1533-position model. The record is from RNAcentral.